GCCUGGGUGGCGAAAUCGGUAUACGCAGUGGAUUCAAAAUCCACCGGUGGUGACACCUUGAGAGUUCGAGUCUCUCCCCAGGCA
This 84-nucleotide transfer RNA is filed under the name gamma proteobacterium HdN1. It matches the Rfam family "tRNA". Rfam says of the family: Transfer RNA (tRNA) molecules are approximately 80 nucleotides in length. Their secondary structure includes four short double-helical elements and three loops (D, anti-codon, and T loops). Lineage: Bacteria; Pseudomonadati; Pseudomonadota; Gammaproteobacteria. The record is from Rfam by way of RNAcentral.